UGGGGAAUUUUGCACAAUGGAGGAAACUCUGAUGCAGCGACGCCGCGUGAGUGAUGAAGAUCUUCGGAUGGUAAAACUCUGUCCUUAGUGAAGAUAAUGACAGUAACUAAGAAGCAAGCCCUGGCUAAAUACGUGCCAGCAGCCGCGGUAAUACGUAUGGGGCAAGCGUUGUCCGGAAUUAUUGGGCGUAAAGGGUACGUAGGCGGUUUAAUAAGUCCUAAUUAAAAGGCUAUGGCUCAACCAUAGUAUGGUUAGGAAACUGUUGAACUUGAGUAGAUGAGGGGAAAGUGGAAUUCCAUGUGUAGCGGUGAAAUGCGUAGAUAUAUGGAGGAACACCAAUGGCGAAGGCAACUUUCUGGAAUCAAACUGACGCUGAGGUACGAAGGCGUGGGGAGCAAACAGG
RNAcentral lists this ribosomal RNA (403 nucleotides) under Fusobacteriota bacterium. Its description in RNAcentral is "Fusobacteria bacterium partial 16S ribosomal RNA". It matches the Rfam family "Bacterial small subunit ribosomal RNA", at positions 355 to 776 of the family's 1533-position model. Lineage: Bacteria; Fusobacteriati; Fusobacteriota. The record is from RNAcentral.